GACGAACGCUGGCGGCGUGCUUAACACAUGCGAGUCGAACGGAAAGGCCUUUUCGGAGGUACUCGAGUGGCGAACGGGUGAGUAACACGUGGGUGAUCUGCCCUGCACUCUGGGAUAAGCCUGGGAAACUGGGUCUAAUACCGGAUAGGACCGCACUUUAGUGUGUGUGGUGGAAAGUUUUUUCGGUGUGGGAUGAGCCCGCGGCCUAUCAGCUUGUUGGUGGGGUAAUGGCCUACCAAGGCGGCGACGGGUAGCCGGACUGAGAGGUUGGUCGGCCACAUUGGGACUGAGAUACGGCCCAGACUCCUACGGGAGGCAGCAGUGGGGAAUAUUGCACAAUGGGCGCAAGCCUGAUGCAGCGACGCCGCGUGGGGGAUGACGGCCUUCGGGUUGUAAACUCCUUUCGCCAGGGACGAAGCGUUUUGUGACGGUACCUGGAGAAGAAGCACCGGCUAACUACGUG
RNAcentral lists this ribosomal RNA (463 nucleotides) under uncultured bacterium. Its description in RNAcentral is "partial 16S ribosomal RNA". It matches the Rfam family "Bacterial small subunit ribosomal RNA", at positions 28 to 507 of the family's 1533-position model. The record is from RNAcentral.